Unclassified non-coding RNA from Chelonoidis abingdonii (Abingdon island giant tortoise), 108 nucleotides. NCBI's taxonomy places the organism in Eukaryota, Metazoa, Chordata, Testudines, Testudinidae. The record is from Ensembl.
CUAAUUAUUCACAAGACAGGUACAGCCUAGGGAGUGGCACUGCAAGCUUCCCCUACACUGCCCCACCAAUCAGUCCUAUUUGACAUUUACUGCCAGUGGUGGUGGUAG